RNAcentral lists this ribosomal RNA (253 nucleotides) under uncultured bacterium. RNAcentral's name for it is "partial 16S ribosomal RNA". It matches the Rfam family "Bacterial small subunit ribosomal RNA", at positions 524 to 776 of the family's 1533-position model. The record is from RNAcentral.
UACGUAGGGGGCUAGCGUUGUCCGGAUUUAUUGGGCGUAAAGAGCGUGUAGGCGGCCAGGUAGGUCUGCUGUGAAAACUCGAGGCUUAACCUCGAGACGUCGGUUGAAACCGUAUGGCUAGAGUCCGGAAGAGGAGAGUGGAAUUCCCGGUGUAGCGGUGAAAUGCGCAGAUAUCGGGAAGAACACCUAUGGCGAAGGCAGCUCUCUGGGACGGUACUGACGCUGAGACGCGAAAGCGUGGGGAGCAAACAGG